This is a long non-coding RNA of Uloborus diversus, 752 nucleotides long. RefSeq lists it as uncharacterized. The record is from RefSeq and is a predicted model, not a curated record. The transcript has 3 exons. Lineage: Eukaryota; Metazoa; Arthropoda; Arachnida; Araneae; Uloboridae.
UAAAUCGCUUUUUACACAAAGGCUUAGUUUAAAAGUCGCCGACAGUUGAAAUCGAGUGGGAGUGUGAUUUUUGUCGCCGGGAUUUCUUUUUGAUUUUCAGCGUCGUGAUGUUUGGGUUGGUAAGAAAAAUGCCCAGGAAGUUCAAUGGCAACAGUAUUUAUCGCUUCUUUAAUCAGUUAUUCUCGUCCAAUAUAAAAGAACAGACUUAACGGCAGUUCAGCACUCUGAUUUUCAUCCCUUGAAGCUCUUUGAAGCAGCAUAUCGAAAUACCUCAUAAUGAAAGCAUGCAUAUUGUUUCUGCUGUCUGCAGUCCUUGUGUCUCUUAAGUCUGUUCGAUGCAACAGAGGACAUCGCAGAGGGGCUGUAGUUGUAAUACCUAGGCGUGUUGCUUACAUGGCCAGGCCUAUGGUUCCUGCACCGGUGGUUGUGAACGUACCAGUGCCUAUCCCGGUGCCUGCAGCUCCCCAGCCUGCACCACCCCCUCCUCCCGCACCGCGACCUCUGCCAGCACCACCUCCGCGACGUCCAAUUCCUAGACCACCAGGUUAAGGGAGGAAGAAGAAUCCCAGAACUUCAACUCUGACGUUCCAGAAUAAGUACAAGAAAAGCAGCCGUCCUUUCUGACUGAGGAUCAAGCCUGUUUUGCCAGUUCCUUCAAUUUGACCUAAUCUGUGAUUCAUUGAAAUUAUCAGUUUUAGAAGUUUUUACAUCUUCUCUUGUACUGUUUUACAUAUACUAUAAAUAAAGUUCAA